UUUCGCAAUGCCCGAAAGGGUGACGAAGCGACGCCGCGUGGGUGAAGAAGGCCCUCGGGUUGUAAAGCCCUGUCAGGAGUUAAGAAAUGUAAGUGUGCUAAUACCACAUUUAUUUGACGAAGGCUCCAAAGGAAGCCACGGCUAACUCUGUGCCAGCAGCCGCGGUAAUACAGAGGUGGCAAGCGUUGUUCGGAAUUAUUGGGCGUAAAGAGCACGUAGGUGGGUUUGUAAGUCAGGUGUGAAAGCCUUCUGUUCAAAGGAAGAAUGGCAUCUGAAACUGCAGAUCUUGAGUGUAGGAGGGGAGAGUGGAACUUCUGGUGGAGCGGUGAAAUGCGUAGAUAUCAGAAGGAACGUCGGCGGCGAAAGCGACUCUCUGGCCUAUUACUGACACUGAGGUGCGAAAGUUAGGGGAGCAAACGGGAUUAGAUACCCCGGUAGUCCUAACCGUAAACGAUGGGCACUAAGUAGAGGGGUUUUA
RNAcentral lists this ribosomal RNA (478 nucleotides) under uncultured bacterium. RNAcentral describes it as "bacterial SSU rRNA". It matches the Rfam family "Bacterial small subunit ribosomal RNA", at positions 364 to 833 of the family's 1533-position model. The record is from RNAcentral.